UAGUCCACGCCGUAAACGAUGGUCACUAGUUGUUGGGGUCUUGUACCUCAGUGAUUAAGAGAAAUUGAUAAGUGACCCACCUGGGGAGUACGAUCGCAAGAUUGAAACUCAAAGGAAUUGACGGGGGCCCGCACAAGCGGUGGAGCAUGUGGUUUAAUUCGAUGGUACGCGAGGAACCUUACCAGGGCUUAAAUGUAAAUUGCAUGGGGUAGAGAUACCCCUUUCUUCGGACUGUUUACAAGGUGCUGCAUGGUUGUCGUCAGCUCGUGCCGUGAGGUGUCAGGUUAAGUCCUAUAACGAGCGCAACCCCUAUUUUUAGUUGCUAACAGGUUAAGCUGAGGACUCUAAAGAGACUGCCGGUGCAGACCGUGAGGAAGGUGGGGAUGACGUCAAAUCAUCACGGCCCUUACGUCCUGGGCUACACACGUGCUACAAUGGUAUGGACAGAGAGCAGCCACCUUGCGAGAGGGAGCGAAUCUAGAAACCAUAUCACAGUUCGGAUCGGAGUCUGCAAC
This 515-nucleotide ribosomal RNA is filed under the name uncultured bacterium. RNAcentral's name for it is "bacterial SSU rRNA". It matches the Rfam family "Bacterial small subunit ribosomal RNA", at positions 791 to 1311 of the family's 1533-position model. The record is from RNAcentral.